GACGAACGCUGGCGGCGUGCUUAACACAUGCAAGUCGAACGGAAGGGCCCUGCUUUUGUGGGGUUCUCGAUUGGCGAACGGGUGAGUAACACGUGAGUAACCUGCCCUUGACUUUGGGAUAACUUCAGGAAACUGGGGCUAAUACCGGAUAGGAUCUCCUGCUGCAUGGUGGGGGUUGGAAAGUUUCGGCGGUUGUGGAUGGACUCGCGGCUUAUCCGCUUGUUGGUGGGGUAGUGGCUUACCAAGGCUUUGACGGGUAGCCGGCCUGAGAGGGUUACCGGCGACAUUGCGACUGAGAUACGGCGCAGACUCCUACGGGAGGCAGCAGUGGGGAAUAUUGCACAAUGGGCGGAAGCCUGAUGCAGCAACGCCGCGUGCGGGAUGACGGCCUACGGGUUGUAAACCGAUGUCGCCUGUGACGAAGCGAGAGUGACGGUAAUGGGUAAAGAAGCACCGGCUAACUACGUG
RNAcentral lists this ribosomal RNA (468 nucleotides) under uncultured bacterium. Its description in RNAcentral is "partial 16S ribosomal RNA". It matches the Rfam family "Bacterial small subunit ribosomal RNA", at positions 28 to 507 of the family's 1533-position model. The record is from RNAcentral.